RNAcentral lists this ribosomal RNA (188 nucleotides) under uncultured bacterium. Its description in RNAcentral is "partial 16S ribosomal RNA". It matches the Rfam family "Bacterial small subunit ribosomal RNA", at positions 338 to 523 of the family's 1533-position model. The record is from RNAcentral.
CCUACGGGAGGCAGCAGUGAGGAAUAUUGGACAAUGGGCGCAAGCCUGAUCCAGCCAUGCCGCGUGCAGGAUGACGGUCCUAUGGAUUGUAAACUGCUUUUAUACGGGAAGAAACACUACUUCGUGAAGUAGCUUGACGGUACUGUAAGAAUAAGGAUCGGCUAACUCCGUGCCAGCAGCCGCGGUAA